Molecule: transfer RNA, 84 nt
Filed under: Pseudomonadota bacterium
Lineage: Bacteria; Pseudomonadati; Pseudomonadota
Also listed under: 1 other name
Description: tRNA-Leu
Rfam family: tRNA
About the family: Transfer RNA (tRNA) molecules are approximately 80 nucleotides in length. Their secondary structure includes four short double-helical elements and three loops (D, anti-codon, and T loops).
Source: RNAcentral
GCCGAGGUGGCGGAACCGGCAGACGCGCGGGUCUCAAAAACCCGUGAGGGCAACCUCAUGAGGGUUCGAUUCCCUCCCUCGGCA